Molecule: ribosomal RNA, 642 nt
Filed under: Rhizopus microsporus
Lineage: Eukaryota; Fungi; Mucoromycota; Mucoromycetes; Mucorales; Rhizopodaceae
Description: eukaryotic LSU rRNA
Rfam family: Eukaryotic large subunit ribosomal RNA
Source: RNAcentral
UAUCAAUAAGCGGAGGAAAAGAAAAUAACAAUGAUUUCCUUAGUAACGGCGAGUGAACAGGAAAAAGCUCAAAGUUGGAACCUGUUUGGCCUAGCUAAACCGGAUUGUAAACUGUAGAAGUGUUUUCCAGGCAAGCCGGACCGAUAAGUCCUUUGGAACAGGGCAUCAUAGAGGGUGAGAAUCCCGUCUUCGGUCUGAGCAUUUGCCUUUUGCGAUACACUUUCAAAGAGUCAGGUUGUUUGGGAAUGCAGCCUAAAUUGGGUGGUAAAUCUCACCUAAAGCUAAAUAUUGGCGAGAAACCGAUAGCGAACAAGUACCGUGAGGGAAAGAUGAAAAGAACUUUGAAAAGAGAGUUAAACAGUAUGUGAAAUUGUUAAAAGGGAACCGUUUGGAGCCAGACUGGCUUGUCUGUAAUCAGUCUAAGCUUCGGCUUGGAUGCACUUGCAGGCUAUGCCUGCCAACGACAAUUUGGCUUGAGGGAAAAAACUAAGGGAAAUGUGGCCCAUCCGUGGGUGUUAUAGUCCCUUAGAAAAUACCUUGGGCUGGAUUGAGGUACGCAGCGAAUGCUAUUUGGCGAGUUGGCUGGGAAUAUUUUCUGAGGUGCUUUGGUACUGAGGUUGAUAUUCCUAGUUACACUUCUAU